Molecule: ribosomal RNA, 482 nt
Filed under: uncultured bacterium
Lineage: Bacteria
Description: partial 16S ribosomal RNA
Rfam family: Bacterial small subunit ribosomal RNA
Source: RNAcentral
AUUGAACGCUGGCGGCAUGCUUUACACAUGCAAGUCGAACGGUAACAGGCCGCAAGGUGCUGACGAGUGGCGAACGGGUGAGUAAUGCAUCGGAACGUGCCCUGUCGUGGGGGAUAACUACUCGAAAGAGUAGCUAAUACCGCAUACGAUCUAUGGAUGAAAGCGGGGGACCGUAAGGCCUCGCGCGAUUGGAGCGGCCGAUGUCAGAUUAGGUAGUUGGUGGGGUAAAGGCUCACCAAGCCAACGAUCUGUAGCUGGUCUGAGAGGACGACCAGCCACACUGGGACUGAGACACGGCCCAGACUCCUACGGGAGGCAGCAGUGGGGAAUGUUGGACAAUGGGGGCAAGCCUGAUCCAGCAAUGCCGCGUGCAGGAAGAAGGCCUUCGGGUUGUAAACUGCUUUUGUACGGAGCGAAACGGCUCUGGUUAAUACCCGGGGCUAAUGACGGUACCGGAAGAAUAAGCACCGGCUAACUACGUG